RNAcentral lists this ribosomal RNA (260 nucleotides) under Stephanostomum sp. 1 AN-2018. RNAcentral's name for it is "partial 16S ribosomal RNA". The record is from RNAcentral. Lineage: Eukaryota; Metazoa; Platyhelminthes; Trematoda; Opisthorchiida; Acanthocolpidae.
ACUAGAUGGUGGUUUUAGAUGGAAAUUAUUCUUGAAAUUGGAUAGUUAGUGCAGAUCCUAAUGGGUUUAAUAAGACGGAAAGACCCCGAGAGCUUUACAAGGUUUGUUUAUUUGGGGCAAAGGUUUAUUUUUUAUAAGUUUUUUGAUCCUAUUGGGUUAUAGAUUUAAGUUACCUCGGGGAUAACUAGGUAAGAAGUGAGGAGAGGCCUUAUCGAUUUGCUUGUUUGCCAUCUCGAUGUUGACUUGGGGUUGAUAGGGGG